UGGCAGUGUAGAAAGACUCCCUAUUAGCA
RNAcentral lists this non-coding RNA (29 nucleotides) under Mus musculus (house mouse). Lineage: Eukaryota; Metazoa; Chordata; Mammalia; Rodentia; Muridae. The record is from RNAcentral.